Molecule: ribosomal RNA, 403 nt
Filed under: uncultured microorganism
Description: bacterial SSU rRNA
Rfam family: Bacterial small subunit ribosomal RNA
Source: RNAcentral
GAGUUUGAUCUUGGCUCAGAUUGAACGCUGGCGGCAUGCUUUACACAUGCAAGUCGAACGGCAGCGCGGGGCAACCUGGCGGCGAGUGGCGAACGGGUGAGUAAUAUAUCGGAACGUACCCAAGAGUGGGGGAUAACGUAGCGAAAGUUACGCUAAUACCGCAUACGAUCUAAGGAUGAAAGUGGGGGAUCGCAAGACCUCAUGCUCCUGGAGCGGCCGAUAUCUGAUUAGCUAGUUGGUGAGGUAAAGGCUCACCAAGGCGACGAUCAGUAGCUGGUCUGAGAGGACGACCAGCCACACUGGAACUGAGACACGGUCCAGACUCCUACGGGAGGCAGCAGUGGGGAAUUUUGGACAAUGGGCGCAAGCCUGAUCCAGCAAUGCCGCGUGAGUGAAGAAGGCC